GGGCUAUUAGCUCAGUGGUAGAGCGCGCCCCUGAUAGGCGAGGUCUCUGGUUCAAGUCCAGGAUGGCCCA
This 70-nucleotide transfer RNA is filed under the name Amana kuocangshanica. Its description in RNAcentral is "tRNA-Ile". It matches the Rfam family "tRNA". Rfam says of the family: Transfer RNA (tRNA) molecules are approximately 80 nucleotides in length. RNAcentral also lists the same sequence under 1 other name. The record is from RNAcentral. Lineage: Eukaryota; Viridiplantae; Streptophyta; Magnoliopsida; Liliales; Liliaceae.